Molecule: transfer RNA, 69 nt
Filed under: Melanitta americana (American black scoter)
Lineage: Eukaryota; Metazoa; Chordata; Aves; Anseriformes; Anatidae
Description: tRNA-Lys
Source: RNAcentral
CAUUGAGAAGCUAUGCAACAGCACUAGCCUUUUAAGCUAACUAAAGAGGGAUUACCCCCUCCUCAAUGA